RNAcentral lists this ribosomal RNA (497 nucleotides) under uncultured bacterium. Its description in RNAcentral is "partial 16S ribosomal RNA". It matches the Rfam family "Bacterial small subunit ribosomal RNA", at positions 28 to 507 of the family's 1533-position model. The record is from RNAcentral.
GACGAACGCUGGCGGCGUGCCUAAUACAUGCAAGUUGAGCGCUGAAGGCUGGUACUUGUACCAACUGGGUGAGCAGCGCACGGGUGAGUCACGCGUGGAGAAUCUGCCUUUGAUCGGGGGACCACAUUUGGAAACGAAUGCUUAUACCGCAUAAAAUCUUUAAACACGAGUUUUAAGGUUGAAAGAUGCAAUUUCAUCAUUCAAAGACGAUCCCGCGUUGUAUUAGCUAGGUGGUGAGGUAAAGGCUCACCAAGGCGAUGAUACAUAGCCGAACUGAGAGGGUGGUCGGCCACAUUGAGACUGAGACACGGCCCAAAGGCCUACAGGAGGCAGCAGUAGGGAAUCUUCAGCCAUCGGCGAGAGUCUGACCGAGCAGCGCCGCGUGAGUGAAGAGGGUUUUCGGAUCGUAAAACUCUGUUGGUGGGGUAGAAAGUUGGUGAGAGUGGAAAGAUCAGCAAGUGACGGUAACUGGCAAGAAAGGAACGGCUAACUACGUG